GAUGAACGCUGGCGGCGUGCCUAAUACAUGCAAGUCGAGCGAACAGACGAGGAGCUUGCUCCUCUGACGUUAGCGGCGGACGGGUGAGUAACACGUGGAUAACCUACCUAUAAGACUGGGAUAACUUCGGGAAACCGGAGCUAAUACCGGAUAAUAUCUUGAACCGCAUGGUUCACUAGUGAAAGCCGCUUUUGCUGUCACUUAUACAUGGAUCCGCGCCGCAGUAGCUAGUUGGUAAGGUAACGGCUUACCAAGGCAACGAUGCGUAGCCGACCUGAGAGGGUGAUCGGCCACACUGGAACUGAGACACGGUCCAGACUCCUACGGGAGGCAGCAGUAGGGAAUCUUCCGCAAUGGGCGAAAGCCUGACGGAGCAACGCCGCGUGAGUGAUGAAGGUCUUCGGAUCGUAAAACUCUGUUAUUAGGGAAGAACAAAUGUGUAAGUAACUAUGCACGUCUUGACGGUACCUAAUCAGAAAGCCACGGCUAACUACGUG
This 497-nucleotide ribosomal RNA is filed under the name uncultured bacterium. RNAcentral's name for it is "partial 16S ribosomal RNA". It matches the Rfam family "Bacterial small subunit ribosomal RNA", at positions 28 to 507 of the family's 1533-position model. The record is from RNAcentral.